RNAcentral lists this ribosomal RNA (246 nucleotides) under uncultured bacterium. Its description in RNAcentral is "partial 16S ribosomal RNA". It matches the Rfam family "Bacterial small subunit ribosomal RNA", at positions 87 to 334 of the family's 1533-position model. The record is from RNAcentral.
UCUGGCGACCGGCGCACGGGUGAGUAACACGUAUCCAACCUGCCCUUUACUCGGGGAUAGCCUUUCGAAAGAAAGAUUAAUACCCGAUAGCAUAAUGAUUCCGCAUGGUUUCAUUAUUAAAGGAUUCCGGUAAAGGAUGGGGAUGCGUUCCAUUAGGUUGUUGGUGAGGUAACGGCUCACCAAGCCUUCGAUGGAUAGGGGUUCUGAGAGGAAGGUCCCCCACAUUGGAACUGAGACACGGUCCAG